AACUACAGGAACAGUUAGCUGAUUUCAACCAUUUUAUUGCAUCACAUUACCAGAAUAUUUUGCAAGCUAUGGAGAAACACAACAAUGAAUUGCAGACUGUCCUGACUGACUUGACUGAGACAAUUUACCAAGCCAAGGGAAAUAAUUAAAAUGAAACUUCCUUUUCUGCAAAUGACUAAACACUCAGUUGUGUUGACAAAAUGACAAAAUGCCACAGUACGCAAAAUAGGUUUUGAAAGAUAAGAAGGCAGUUUUUAAAAGCCUCCUGAAUUUCACACUCUGAGCUAACCAGAAAAGAGGAAGUUACGACAAAUUUAUUUUGUGAAUGAUGAAUGGUGUUUCCUUCUCUAUGCUGUCUGAUACUCUUAUUUUUCUCUACAUUUAAAACCAUUUGUAAGCAUUUUGUAUUUGAUUCUGAGGUAAUUAGUACCAUAUAUUUUUUAUUUUUUCAUCCCCUAAUCCUUUAUACCCUGUGUGUAUCUGUGAGAAAAAUUUUCUUAAUAUGUUUGUACAUAAAUAUUCUUUCUUUCUUUUUCCAAUUUACUCAUAUAUACCAGAGUGAUUGUAUGAAUGAAGGAUUCUUUUCUGUAUAUACUGUACUUAUGAAUAAAGAAUAGUAUAUUU
Penaeus indicus is the source of this 624-nucleotide long non-coding RNA. RefSeq lists it as uncharacterized. Lineage: Eukaryota; Metazoa; Arthropoda; Malacostraca; Decapoda; Penaeidae. The record is from RefSeq and is a predicted model, not a curated record. The transcript is spliced from 2 exons.